AGCUUUGCGCAGUGGCAGUAUCGUAGCCAAUGAGGUUUAUCCGAGGCUUGAUUAUUGCUAAUUGAAAACUUGAAGGCUGCCUUUUGUUCC
This is a small nuclear RNA of Rattus norvegicus (Norway rat), 90 nucleotides long. Ensembl annotates it as U4 spliceosomal RNA. The record is from Ensembl. Lineage: Eukaryota; Metazoa; Chordata; Mammalia; Rodentia; Muridae.